ACAAAUUCGUUGAUGAGAAAGAGUAGCGUUUCAACUUGAUCCGCAGAGAGCUGGCAUUUUGGUGCAAGUCAGUGUUCAAGUGUUACGUGAAUAUCCUCUCUGAGAAGCUGGACCGAACGUUAAAGUAAGUCCAGCCGGGAGUCUGCCGUUACAAGGAACACGUAUGAUUGUACGUUGCUAAGUGCUAUUGACCGGAAUCAAUAGAAUUAAGGUGGUAACGCGGUUAACCCCGUCCCUUAC
RNAcentral lists this non-coding RNA (240 nucleotides) under Bacillus sp. (in: firmicutes). RNAcentral's name for it is "Bacillus sp. T-box sequence". It matches the Rfam family "T-box leader". From Rfam's summary of the family: Uncharged tRNA acts as the effector for transcription antitermination of genes in the T-box leader family. T-boxes are found upstream of many aminoacyl-tRNA synthetase genes and some amino acid biosynthetic genes usually in Gram-positive bacteria. The record is from RNAcentral. Lineage: Bacteria; Bacillati; Bacillota; Bacilli; Caryophanales; Bacillaceae.